AGGUGGGCGGCAAUUAUAUUUUUACAUAACUUCUGGUGAAUGUAGAGAAAUCCUUCUCUACUUGAAAUUGGUCUAAGUUAGAUAAAGAUCCAAUCCAAAUUGACCCAAUCUCAUUAGGUCAAAGCGAACUGGUCUAGGUUAGCUCAAAUAUUUUGAUCCAAACCAAUUUGGGAACUUGGGUUAAUACAAUGUGCUAGCAUAUCAAAUUAACCCAUAAAAUUUAUAUUAAAUUCUAACUAAAUUAGACCAAGGCUAAAUUUUUAAGUGUGUGAUCCAUUGAAUUUCAAAUCUAGCCAG
Molecule: long non-coding RNA, 297 nt
Filed under: Elaeis guineensis (African oil palm)
Lineage: Eukaryota; Viridiplantae; Streptophyta; Magnoliopsida; Arecales; Arecaceae
Description: long non-coding RNA (EGUI_LNC079982)
Source: RNAcentral